RNAcentral lists this ribosomal RNA (458 nucleotides) under uncultured bacterium. Its description in RNAcentral is "bacterial SSU rRNA". It matches the Rfam family "Bacterial small subunit ribosomal RNA", at positions 335 to 788 of the family's 1533-position model. The record is from RNAcentral.
ACUCCUACGGGAGGCAGCAGUAGGGAAUCUUCCACAAUGGGCGCAAGCCUGAUGGAGCAACACCGCGUGAGUGAAGAAGGGUUUCGGCUCGUAAAGCUCUGUUGUUAAAGAAGAACACGUAUGAGGGUAACUGUCAUACGUUGACGGUAUUAACCAGAAAGUCACGGCUAACUACGUGCCAGCAGCCGCGGUAAUACGUAGGUGGCAAGCGUUAUCCGGAUUUAUUGGGCGUAAAAGAGAGUGCAGGCGGUUUCUAAGUCUGAUGUGAAAGCCUUCGGCGUUAACCGGAGAAGUGCAUCGGAAACUGGAUAACUUGAGUGCAGAAGAGGUAGUGGAACUCAUGUGUAGCGGUGGAAUGCGUAGAUAUAUGGAAGAACACCAGUGGCGAAGGCGGCUACCUGGUCUGCAACUGACGCUGAGACUCGAAAGCAUGAGUAGCGAACAGGAUUAGAUACCCC